CAGCAGCCACGGUAAUACGGAGGGCGCGAGCGUUACCCGGAUUUACUGGGCGUAAAGGGCGUGUAGGCGGCCUGGGGCGUCCCAUGUGAAAGGCCACGGCUCAACCGUGGAGGAGCGUGGGAUACGCUCAGGCUAGAGGGUGGGAGAGGGUGGUGGAAUUCCCGGAGUAGCGGUGAAAUGCGCAGAUACCGGGAGGAACGCCGAUGGCGAAGGCAGCCACCUGGUCCACUUCUGACGCUGAGGCGCGAAAGCGUGGGGAGCAAACCGGAUUAGAUACCCCUGUAGUCCCUGUCUCUUAUAC
RNAcentral lists this ribosomal RNA (301 nucleotides) under uncultured bacterium. RNAcentral's name for it is "partial 16S ribosomal RNA". It matches the Rfam family "Bacterial small subunit ribosomal RNA", at positions 509 to 807 of the family's 1533-position model. The record is from RNAcentral.